GUAAAGAAGAGAGAGAAAAAAAAACAAGAAAGGAAAAAGAGGAGGAAGAAGAAAGAAGGGAAAAUCGACCAUAGAGCUUCACUGGAACUGGGUCUUAGUAUUUUGAGCCCAGAUUAAUGAUCAGUUCACCGAGUCUUCGAAUUGAGAUGGACCACAAGGGAGAGACAGUAUCAAAAACUACUGGCUAGCAGCAAUUUUCUGCCACAAGGGAAGGAACAAUUCCACUUGCAAGUGUUAUUCAUGCAAGGACAAUUGGAAGGGCUAUAAAUCUGCAAGGAAGUCAAUAUGUUGAUCUAGGAAACCAUCCCGAGGCUGCUGCCAAAGACUCGGCUCUUUAUGGAGACAAUCUUUGGGUCAAGGAGUUUGUUGCACGUGAGGAUGGUUGCGUGUGUGAUGUCUAUGCUUUUGGGGUACCCUGAAGAUGAUGUUAUCAUUUUCUCUUUUUGUUUCUUUUGGUAUAUUUAUUGGAUGUAUACCUAAGGGGUGAUUACUUGUAACUAUGUUUAGGCAAGUUAAACUUUUUUGGUGUAAAUAUGGUAUCAUCACUAGAAGUGCACCAGUGGUAUUAUUCU
Molecule: long non-coding RNA, 572 nt
Organism: Macadamia integrifolia
Lineage: Eukaryota; Viridiplantae; Streptophyta; Magnoliopsida; Proteales; Proteaceae
Exons: 3
Source: RefSeq, a predicted model, not a curated record